GAUCAGGUGGCCGAGUGGUUAAGGCGAUGGACUGCUAAUCCAUGGGGUUUCCCCGCGUGAGUUCGAAUCUCAUCCUGAUCG
This 81-nucleotide transfer RNA is filed under the name Anisakis simplex (herring worm). It matches the Rfam family "tRNA". From Rfam's summary of the family: Transfer RNA (tRNA) molecules are approximately 80 nucleotides in length. Their secondary structure includes four short double-helical elements and three loops (D, anti-codon, and T loops). The record is from Rfam by way of RNAcentral. Lineage: Eukaryota; Metazoa; Nematoda; Chromadorea; Rhabditida; Anisakidae.